AUUGAACGCUGGCGGCAUGCUUUACACAUGCAAGUCGAACGGUAGAGGGGGCAACCCCUUGAGAGUGGCGAACGGGUGAGUAAUGCAUCGGAACGUGCCCAGUCGUGGGGGAUAACGCAGCGAAAGCUGUGCUAAUACCGCAUACGAUCUCUGGAUGAAAGCGGGGGACCGAAAGGCCUCGCGCGAUUGGAGCGGCCGAUGUCAGAUUAGGUAGUUGGUGGGGUAAAGGCCUACCAAGCCAACGAUCUGUAGCUGGUCUGAGAGGACGACCAGCCACACUGGUGCUGAGACACGGCCCAGACUCCUACGGGAGGCAGCAGUGGGGAAUUUUGGACAAUGGGCGCAAGCCUGAUCCAGCAAUGCCGCGUGCAGGAAGAAGGCCUUCGGGUUGUAAACUGCUUUUGUACGGAACGAAACGGUCUGGGUUAAUACCCUGGGCUAAUGACGGUACCGUAAGAAUAAGCACCGGCUAACUACGUGCCAGCAGCCGCGGUAA
Molecule: ribosomal RNA, 496 nt
Filed under: uncultured bacterium
Lineage: Bacteria
Description: partial 16S ribosomal RNA
Rfam family: Bacterial small subunit ribosomal RNA
Source: RNAcentral